Molecule: non-coding RNA, 27 nt
Filed under: Rattus norvegicus (Norway rat)
Lineage: Eukaryota; Metazoa; Chordata; Mammalia; Rodentia; Muridae
Source: RNAcentral
UGAGAACAGUGAUCCGGUGGCUGAGAG